RNAcentral lists this ribosomal RNA (496 nucleotides) under uncultured bacterium. Its description in RNAcentral is "partial 16S ribosomal RNA". It matches the Rfam family "Bacterial small subunit ribosomal RNA", at positions 28 to 507 of the family's 1533-position model. The record is from RNAcentral.
GAUGAACGCUGGCGGCGUGCCUAAUACAUGCAAGUCGAGCGAACAGACGAGGAGCUUGCUCCCUGACGUUAGCGGCGGACGGGUGAGUAACACGUGGAUAACCUACCUAUAAGACUGGGAUAACUUCGGGAAACCGGAGCUAAUACCGGAUAACAUGUUGAACCGCAUGGUUCAACAGUGAAAGACGGUCUUGCUGUCACUUAUAGAUGGAUCCGCGCCGCAUUAGCUAGUUGGUAAGGUAACGGCUUACCAAGGCAACGAUGCGUAGCCGACCUGAGAGGGUGAUCGGCCACACUGGAACUGAGACACGGUCCAGACUCCUACGGGAGGCAGCAGUAGGGAAUCUUCCGCAAUGGGCGAAAGCCUGACGGAGCAACGCCGCGUGAGUGAAGAAGGUCUUCGGAUCGUAAAACUCUGUUAUUAGGGAAGAACAAAUGUGUAAGUAACUAUGCACGUCUUGACGGUACCUAAUCAGAAAGCCACGGCUAACUACGUG